CCUGCAAUAGGCAGCAUGGAGAACAGCUUCUUUUCAUCCACCUAGUCCCAUUCCAUCUCCUUAGUGAACAUCUGCUGUAGGGACCUGCAGUCUCUGUUUAUGGCAAGGACUUUCUGAAUAUUGGUAAGACUGGGUGCUAUUCAUCUCUCUCUACUGCUGGAAAGAAUGGCUAUGUUUGUUUAAAAGUUACUUCAGUGUCUUUAUUUCUAAGAGAUGAAGUUUCCUUCUCAAAAGCCUGUCUUCAACUAUUGCAUUUAUGGUGAUCAUAAAAUUGAAUUACAAUUUUGGCAAUCAUAAAUUUUACCAAAGUGGGACACUUAUGAGAGUGAAAAGGGUGCUAUUAAUAAUGGCACUGGGAGAUAGCUGUAAAGUAUGACUGUCCCAGGCAAAUGAGAAUGAAAGUUCAUCCUAGUUAUAAUGGUGUGGAAAUCGUUUCAUUCAGGAUGUCUCUAGUGAGACUGAUGGACAAGGGAAGGGAUGUGCGAUGUCACAAGGUAAACCAGGUGAUGAAUCAAUGCCGUGCAUGUACAAGGACAUUAGAAAUCAUAGGCUGCCAGGACCAACACAAGAGGGAAGAACUGCAUCAUUGUUACGGAUCACCUAUAUGAGAUUGUUUAAGUAUGCCAGAAUCUGUUCAAUUUUGUAAUUUACGUAUCUGCUGUCCUCAGCUGAAGUACUUGAGGGCAAGUUCUGGGGAUGGGAGUCACCUGACAGCUUAUCAGUUGCCAGUACUACUCUAAGCAGCUGGAGGAAUGGGGUGUUUCUUUCAUAUGUGGGGAUCGGGGUGGGCACCACAGCAUUCACUAGAAUAUUCGUUCUCAACCUUUACUGCAUAUUAGAGUCUCCUGAGGAGCUCUGCACACUUCCAAAGCCUAGCCUGCACUCCAGAUCAAUUUAAUCAUGAUUUCUGGGAGUGGGGCCCAGAGGUCAGUGUUUUUUAAAAUCCUCCAAAUGAUUCCAAUGAGCAGCCACAGCUAAGUUUGAGAAAUAUCAUAUUUUAUUAUCCUUGUUCACUUAUCCAGGUAUUUUUUUAUUAUACCCUAAGUUCUGGGAUACAUGUGCAGAAAGUGCAGGUUUGUUACAUAGGUAUACAUGUGCCAUGGUGGUUUGCUGCACCCAUCAACCAGUCAUCUACAUUAGGUAUUUGUGCUAAUGCUCUCCCUCCCCUUGCCCCCCACCCUCCUACAGGCCCCAGUGUGUGAUGUUCCCCUCCCUGUGCCCAUAUGUUCUCAUUGUUCAACUCCCACUUGUAAGAACAUGCGGUGUUUGGUUUUCUGUUCUUGUGUUAGUUUGCUGAGAAUGAUGGUUUCCAACUUCAUUUAUGUCCCCGCAAAGAACUUAUCCAG
Molecule: long non-coding RNA, 1346 nt
Filed under: Homo sapiens (human)
Lineage: Eukaryota; Metazoa; Chordata; Mammalia; Primates; Hominidae
Description: HSALNT0349037
Source: RNAcentral